Molecule: long non-coding RNA, 95 nt
Organism: Sander lucioperca (pikeperch)
Lineage: Eukaryota; Metazoa; Chordata; Actinopteri; Perciformes; Percidae
Exons: 3
Source: RefSeq, a predicted model, not a curated record
CAAGUUGAUGGUGGUCACAAAUUCUUUCUACCAAUAAGGAUGACAAAAGUGUCAUUUGUCCCGCCCUAACAGGUGCAACAACACUAACAUUGGAC